RNAcentral lists this long non-coding RNA (577 nucleotides) under Carica papaya (papaya). RNAcentral describes it as "long non-coding RNA (CPAP_LNC001531)". The record is from RNAcentral. Lineage: Eukaryota; Viridiplantae; Streptophyta; Magnoliopsida; Brassicales; Caricaceae.
CAUGGAAAGCUACUAAAAACUGUUCCCAAGUGACUGGAACAGACAGGGUGGUCUGCUUGAGUUCCCACCAGCAGUCUGCUUCUCCCACCAGCAUAUAAGUAGUAAGGGUGACCCUCUGCUCAGGAGUCACUCCUAGGGUCUUGAAGGCCUUCUCCGUCUCCGCCAACCAAUACUGGGCAUCUUCAAAGGAGGAUUCCCCUACAAAAGUGGAUGGGUUCAGUCUCUUGUACCUCUCUACGUAACCUGGGUCAAUCAUGGAAGGAGCUGGGUCCCGUGGAAGAGAGACUGGGUCAGGCUGAGGAUAGACUGGGGGCCCUGUGGUGGUACUUGCUGACAUGUUGGGGGCACCAGAUUAUACUAUGGCGGUGCCACCGGGUGGUACUGUGGAGGAGCAGGCUUGUACCGGGGUGGCUUGGGAUUCUCUUGCUGUAGUGGUGGCUCAACCUGUGGCUGUGGGGGAGGGUCGAGUAGCUCACUUCUCUCCUCUCGACCCUGCUGGACAGCAAUGAGUCUCUCCAGCAUCUCAAAUAUUCAGUCAAUGUCUUCCCGAAGCGAACCAUCCCAGGCUGCUCGGUUU